RNAcentral lists this ribosomal RNA (301 nucleotides) under uncultured bacterium. RNAcentral describes it as "partial 16S ribosomal RNA". It matches the Rfam family "Bacterial small subunit ribosomal RNA", at positions 509 to 809 of the family's 1533-position model. The record is from RNAcentral.
CAGCCGCCACGGGAAUACAGAGGGUGCGAGCGUUAAUCGGAUUUACUGGGCGUAAAGCGUGCGUAGGCGGCUUUUUAAGUCGGAUGUGAAAUCCCUGAGCUUAACUUAGGAAUUGCAUUCGAUACUGGGAAGCUAGAGUAUGGGAGAGGAUGGUAGAAUUCCAGGUGUAGCGGUGAAAUGCGUAGAGAUCUGGAGGAAUACCGAUGGCGAAGGCAGCCAUCUGGCCUAAUACUGACGCUGAGGUACGAAAGCAUGGGGAGCAAACAGGAUUAGAUACCCCAGUAGUCCCUGUCUCUUAUAU